This 323-nucleotide ribosomal RNA is filed under the name uncultured eukaryote. RNAcentral's name for it is "partial 18S ribosomal RNA". It matches the Rfam family "Eukaryotic small subunit ribosomal RNA", at positions 1470 to 1796 of the family's 1831-position model. The record is from RNAcentral.
CCCUUAGAUGUUCUGGGCUGCACGCGCGCGACAAUGACGUUUGCAACGAGAUUGCGAGGCCGUCAGGUCGAGCUGAUCUUGCAAGCUGCGUCGUGAUAGGGACAGUCGAUUGCAAUUAUUCGACUCGAACGAGGAAUACCUUGUAAGCGCGGGUCAUCAUCCCGCGCUGAAUACGUCCCUGCCCUUUGUACACACCGCCCGUCGCUCCUACCGAUUGAGUGGUCCGGUGAGGCUUUGGGAUCUGAGCGGAAAGAGCGUUUCGCUGUUUCUGCUCGGAAAACUCAGUCGAACCUUAUCAUUUAGAGGAAGGAGAAGUCGUAACA